GAUCAUGGCUCAGGAUGAACGCUGGCGGCGUGCCUAACACAUGCAAGUCGAACGAAGCACUUCUGGUUUGAGAUUCGUCAAGAACCGGAAUUGACUAGUGGCGGACGGGUGAGUAAUGUAUGAGCAACCUGCCUUUCAGAGGGGGACAACAGUUGGAAACGACUGCUAAUACCGCAUAAUGUUUCGAGAGGGCAUCCUUUUGAAACCAAAGGAGCAAUCCGCUGAAAGAUGGGCUCAUAUCUGAUUAGUUAGUUGGUGAGGUAACGGCUCACCAAGACUGCGAUCAGUAGCCGGACUGAGAGGUUGAACGGCCACAUUGGGACUGAGAUACGGCCCAGACUCCUACGGGAGGCAGCAGUGGGGAAUAUUGGGCAAUGGGCGAAAGCCUGACCCAAGCAACGCCGCGUGAAGGAAGAAGGUCUUCGGAUUGUAAACUUCUUUUAUGAGGGACGAAGGAUGUGACGGUACCUCAUGAAUAAGCCACGGCCAACUGCGUGCCAGCCGCCGC
Molecule: ribosomal RNA, 508 nt
Filed under: uncultured bacterium
Lineage: Bacteria
Description: bacterial SSU rRNA
Rfam family: Bacterial small subunit ribosomal RNA
Source: RNAcentral